UUUGCCUAAGCAGAAUAUAGCCAAUCUAAGCUGAUCUUGCAAACUAAGUAGAUUUGGCCCCAGAUAGUACUGGAAUGGAACUCCAGAACUGAACACUGGAUUGGGAAAUU
Molecule: ribosomal RNA, 110 nt
Filed under: Notechis scutatus (mainland tiger snake)
Lineage: Eukaryota; Metazoa; Chordata; Lepidosauria; Squamata; Elapidae
Source: RNAcentral